UACGGAGGAUCCAAGCGUUAUCCGGAUUCAUUGGGUUUAAAGGGUGCGUAGGCGGAAUGAUAAGUCAGUGGUGAAAUCCUUCAGCUUAACUGGAGAACUGCCAUUGAUACUGUCAAUCUUGAGUACAUUUGAUGUGGGCGGAAUGUGUCAUGUAGCGGUGAAAUGCUUAGAUAUGACACAGAACACCGAUUGCGAAGGCAGCUCACAAAAACUGUAACUGACGCUGAGGCACGAAAAGCGUGGGUAUCAAACAGG
This 255-nucleotide ribosomal RNA is filed under the name uncultured bacterium. RNAcentral describes it as "partial 16S ribosomal RNA". It matches the Rfam family "Bacterial small subunit ribosomal RNA", at positions 524 to 776 of the family's 1533-position model. The record is from RNAcentral.